RNAcentral lists this ribosomal RNA (497 nucleotides) under uncultured bacterium. RNAcentral describes it as "partial 16S ribosomal RNA". It matches the Rfam family "Bacterial small subunit ribosomal RNA", at positions 28 to 507 of the family's 1533-position model. The record is from RNAcentral.
GAUGAACGCUGGCGGCGUGCCUAAUACAUGCAAGUCGAGCGAACGGACGAGAAGCUUGCUUCACUGAGGUUAGCGGCGGACGGGUGAGUAACACGUGGAUAACCGACCUAUAAGACUGGGAUAACUUCGGGAAACCGGAGCUAAUACCGGAUAAUAUUUUGAACCGCAGGGUUCAAGAGUGAAAGACGGUCUUGCCUUUACUUAUAGAUGGAUCCGCGCUGCAUUAGCUAGUUGGUAAGGUAACGGCUUACCAAGGCAACGAUGCAUAGCCGACCUGAGAGGGUGAUCGGCCACACUGGGACUGAGACACGGUCCAGACUCCUACGGGAGGCAGCAGUAGGGAAUCUUCCGCAAUGGGCGAAAGCCUGACGGAGCAACGCCGCGUGAGUGAUGAAGGUCUUCGGAUCGUAAAACUCUGUUAUUAGGGAAGAACAUAUGUGUAAGUAACUGUGCACAUCUUGACGGUACCUAAUCAGAAAGCCACGGCUAACUACGUG